UAUCGCUGAUAAAAUAGCAAAUUGCAAAUAUGGCUUCUUUUUGGUUAACAAGGAGUCUUUUGUUUGCGUUACUCACGCUGCAAAUAUUUUCUGCAGAAGAGGAGAAAAGCCCGAAAGCUCGACUUGAGACAUGCGGUGGAUGACGUUUAAAUCGCCUUCCUGAGGUAAAGUCAUUCAUCAAUGAAGAUGCUGAUAAAUACCCAGAUUUGGAGGUGAAGUAUAUUGGUG
This is a long non-coding RNA of Dendronephthya gigantea, 228 nucleotides long. RefSeq lists it as uncharacterized. The transcript is spliced from 4 exons. NCBI's taxonomy places the organism in Eukaryota, Metazoa, Cnidaria, Anthozoa, Malacalcyonacea, Nephtheidae. The record is from RefSeq and is a predicted model, not a curated record.